CCUACGGGAGGCUGCAGUGGGGAAUAUUGGACAAUGGGCGCAAGCCUGAUCCAGCCAUACCGCGUGGGUGAAGAAGGCCUUCGGGUUGUAAAGCCCUUUUGUUGGGAAAGAAAUCCUGUCGAUUAAUACUCGGUGGGGAUGACGGUACCCAAAGAAUAAGCACCGGCUAACUUCGUGCCAGCAGCCGCGGUAAUACGAAGGGUGCAAGCGUUACUCGGAAUUACUGGGCGUAAAGCUUUAAGUCGGCUGUGAAAGCCCUGGGCUCAACCUGGGAAUUGCAGUGGAUACUGGAUCACUAGAGUGUGGUAGAGGGAUGCGGAAUUUCUGGUGUAGCAGUGAAAUGCGUAGAGAUCAGAAGGAACAUCCGUGGCGAAGGCGGCAUCCUGGGCCAACACUGACACUGAGGCACGAAAGCGUGGGGAGCAAACAGGAUUAGAUACCCCAGUAGUC
RNAcentral lists this ribosomal RNA (450 nucleotides) under uncultured bacterium. RNAcentral describes it as "partial 16S ribosomal RNA". It matches the Rfam family "Bacterial small subunit ribosomal RNA", at positions 338 to 795 of the family's 1533-position model. The record is from RNAcentral.